UGAGCAAACCCUAAUGUUGUUCAAGUGUCUACAUUUUUCAAGUUCUUUCAUGCAUUCCACUUGCAUUUAAUUUACACAAACCUAUUCAAUCACUCAUCUCAUACUAAGGGCAACUCAUAACCACUUUGCUAUCAAGCAAAAUCACCAAACCCUAACCAACCCUAGCUGCCGAAAAUUUUAGGGUGCACACACACACAUUUUUAUUUUGUUUUCUUAUAUUUCCUACUCAUUUCAUG
Molecule: unclassified non-coding RNA, 236 nt
Filed under: Hevea brasiliensis (rubber tree)
Lineage: Eukaryota; Viridiplantae; Streptophyta; Magnoliopsida; Malpighiales; Euphorbiaceae
Source: RNAcentral